CCGCCCGCUGCCGCCUCCCUUCCCCUCCCACCUCCCGCUGCGCGGAGCCCGGCGGAGCCCGGCGGGGCAGGCAGAGGAGCCGGGCAGCUCCAGGUAUCCACAGUUAUGUGCUAAGUCAAAAUUUUUCUGGAAGUUCCAUCUCUGGAAGCUUCUGUUUCCAGAAAUGACAAUUGAACACCAGCUUCUCAGCAUUACCAUAGUGAUUGUAUCUAUGCUGUGGCAGAAUAGGAAGAGCUCCUGGAACUGACCAAGGUCUUGAGAGGGUUGAGACUCUCCAGGUUCAAUGUAAUCUCACUGGGCAUUAGCA
This 307-nucleotide long non-coding RNA is filed under the name Cairina moschata (Muscovy duck). RNAcentral's name for it is "domestica (muscovy Duck (domestic type)) lncRNA (ENSCMMG00000002027.1)". The record is from RNAcentral. Lineage: Eukaryota; Metazoa; Chordata; Aves; Anseriformes; Anatidae.